Molecule: ribosomal RNA, 253 nt
Filed under: uncultured Lactobacillus sp.
Lineage: Bacteria; Bacillati; Bacillota; Bacilli; Lactobacillales; Lactobacillaceae
Description: partial 16S ribosomal RNA
Rfam family: Bacterial small subunit ribosomal RNA
Source: RNAcentral
UACGUAGGUGGCAAGCGUUAUCCGGAUUUAUUGGGCGUAAAGGGAACGCAGGCGGUCUUUUAAGUCUGAUGUGAAAGCCUUCGGCUUAACCGGAGUAGUGCAUUGGAAACUGGCGGGCUAGAGAGCAGGAGAGGGCGGUGGAACUCCAUGUGUAGCGGUAAAAUGCGUAGAUAUAUGGAAGAACACCAGUGGCGAAGGCGGCCGCCUGGCCUGUUACUGACGCUGAGGCUCGAAAGUGCGGGUAUCAAACAGG